GGGUUGUGAGGUUAAGCGACUAAGCGUACACGGUGGAUGCCCUGGCAGUCAGAGGCGAUGAAGGACGUGCUAAUCUGCGAUAAGCGUCGGUAAGGUGAUAUGAACCGUUAUAACCGGCGAUUUCCGAAUGGGGAAACCCAGUGUGAUUCGUCACACUAUCAUUAACUGAAUCCAUAGGUUAAUGAGGCGAACCGGGGGAACUGAAACAUCUAAGUACCCCGAGGAAAAGAAAUCAACCGAGAUUCCCCCAGUAGCGGCGAGCGAACGGGGAGGAGCCCAGAGCCUGAAUCAGUGUGUGUGUUAGUGGAAGCGUCUGGAAAGGCGCGCGAUACAGGGUGACAGCCCCGUACACAAAAAUGCACAUGCUGUGAGCUCGAUGAGUAGGGCGGGACACGUGGUAUCCUGUCUGAAUAUGGGGGGACCAUCCUCCAAGGCUAAAUACUCCUGACUGACCGAUAGUGAACCAGUACCGUGAGGGAAAGGCGAAAAGAACCCCGGCGAGGGGAGUGAAAAAGAACCUGAAACCGUGUACGUACAAGCAGUGGGAGCACAGAGCAAUCUGUGUGACUGCGUACCUUUUGUAUAAUGGGUCAGCGACUUAUAUUCUGUAGCAAGGUUAACCGAAUAGGGGAGCCGAAGGGAAACCGAGUCUUAACUGGGCGUUAAGUUGCAGGGUAUAGACCCGAAACCCGGUGAUCUAGCCAUGGGCAGGUUGAAGGUUGGGUAACACUAACUGGAGGACCGAACCGACUAAUGUUGAAAAAUUAGCGGAUGACUUGUGGCUGGGGGUGAAAGGCCAAUCAAACCGGGAGAUAGCUGGUUCUCCCCGAAAGCUAUUUAGGUAGCGCCUCGUGAAUUCAUCUCCGGGGGUAGAGCACUGUUUCGGCAAGGGGGUCAUCCCGACUUACCAACCCGAUGCAAACUGCGAAUACCGGAGAAUGUUAUCACGGGAGACACACGGCGGGUGCUAACGUCCGUCGUGAAGAGGGAAACAACCCAGACCGCCAGCUAAGGUCCCAAAGUCAUGGUUAAGUGGGAAACGAUGUGGGAAGGCCCAGACAGCCAGGAUGUUGGCUUAGAAGCAGCCAUCAUUUAAAGAAAGCGUAAUAGCUCACUGGUCGAGUCGGCCUGCGCGGAAGAUGUAACGGGGCUAAACCAUGCACCGAAGCUGCGGCAGCGACACUGUGUGUUGUUGGGUAGGGGAGCGUUCUGUAAGCCUGUGAAGGUGUGCUGUGAGGCAUGCUGGAGGUAUCAGAAGUGCGAAUGCUGACAUAAGUAACGAUAAAGCGGGUGAAAAGCCCGCUCGCCGGAAGACCAAGGGUUCCUGUCCAACGUUAAUCGGGGCAGGGUGAGUCGACCCCUAAGGCGAGGCCGAAAGGCGUAGUCGAUGGGAAACAGGUUAAUAUUCCUGUACUUGGUGUUACUGCGAAGGGGGACGGAGAAGGCUAUGUUGGCCGGGCGACGGUUGUCCCGGUUUAAGCGUGUAGGCUGGUUUUCCAGGCAAAUCCGGAAAAUCAAGGCUGAGGCGUGAUGACGAGGCACUACGGUGCUGAAGCAACAAAUGCCCUGCUUCCAGGAAAAGCCUCUAAGCAUCAGGUAACAUCAAAUCGUACCCCAAACCGACACAGGUGGUCAGGUAGAGAAUACCAAGGCGCUUGAGAGAACUCGGGUGAAGGAACUAGGCAAAAUGGUGCCGUAACUUCGGGAGAAGGCACGCUGAUAUGUAGGUGAAGUCCCUCGCGGAUGGAGCUGAAAUCAGUCGAAGAUACCAGCUGGCUGCAACUGUUUAUUAAAAACACAGCACUGUGCAAACACGAAAGUGGACGUAUACGGUGUGACGCCUGCCCGGUGCCGGAAGGUUAAUUGAUGGGGUCAGCGCAAGCGAAGCUCUUGAUCGAAGCCCCGGUAAACGGCGGCCGUAACUAUAACGGUCCUAAGGUAGCGAAAUUCCUUGUCGGGUAAGUUCCGACCUGCACGAAUGGCGUAAUGAUGGCCAGGCUGUCUCCACCCGAGACUCAGUGAAAUUGAACUCGCUGUGAAGAUGCAGUGUACCCGCGGCAAGACGGAAAGACCCCGUGAACCUUUACUAUAGCUUGACACUGAACAUUGAGCCUUGAUGUGUAGGAUAGGUGGGAGGCUUUGAAGUGUGGACGCCAGUCUGCAUGGAGCCGACCUUGAAAUACCACCCUUUAAUGUUUGAUGUUCUAACGUGGACCCGUGAUCCGGGUUGCGGACAGUGUCUGGUGGGUAGUUUGACUGGGGCGGUCUCCUCCUAAAGAGUAACGGAGGAGCACGAAGGUUGGCUAAUCCUGGUCGGACAUCAGGAGGUUAGUGCAAUGGCAUAAGCCAGCUUGACUGCGAGCGUGACGGCGCGAGCAGGUGCGAAAGCAGGUCAUAGUGAUCCGGUGGUUCUGAAUGGAAGGGCCAUCGCUCAACGGAUAAAAGGUACUCCGGGGAUAACAGGCUGAUACCGCCCAAGAGUUCAUAUCGACGGCGGUGUUUGGCACCUCGAUGUCGGCUCAUCACAUCCUGGGGCUGAAGUAGGUCCCAAGGGUAUGGCUGUUCGCCAUUUAAAGUGGUACGCGAGCUGGGUUUAGAACGUCGUGAGACAGUUCGGUCCCUAUCUGCCGUGGGCGCUGGAGAACUGAGGGGGGCUGCUCCUAGUACGAGAGGACCGGAGUGGACGCAUCACUGGUGUUCGGGUUGUCAUGCCAAUGGCACUGCCCGGUAGCUAAAUGCGGAAGAGAUAAGUGCUGAAAGCAUCUAAGCACGAAACUUGCCCCGAGAUGAGUUCUCCCUGACCCUUUAAGGGUCCUGAAGGAACGUUGAAGACGACGACGUUGAUAGGCCGGGUGUGUAAGCGCAGCGAUGCGUUGAGCUAACCGGUACUAAUGAACCGUGAGGCUUAACCUUACAACGCCGAAGGUGUUU
Molecule: ribosomal RNA, 2931 nt
Filed under: Escherichia coli
Lineage: Bacteria; Pseudomonadati; Pseudomonadota; Gammaproteobacteria; Enterobacterales; Enterobacteriaceae
Also listed under: 2 other names
Description: bacterial LSU rRNA
Rfam family: Bacterial large subunit ribosomal RNA
Source: RNAcentral